Mustela lutreola (European mink) is the source of this 3979-nucleotide RNA transcript. It is a transcript of the gene named NECAP endocytosis associated 1, with no coding region annotated. The record is from RefSeq and is a predicted model, not a curated record. The transcript has 11 exons. NCBI's taxonomy places the organism in Eukaryota, Metazoa, Chordata, Mammalia, Carnivora, Mustelidae.
AGUUCGUCCCCAUUCCAUACACCCCGCCCCCGGUGGCGCGGAGUGCAGAGCCAAGAUGGCGGCCGAGUUGGAGUACGAGUCUGUUCUGUGUGUGAAGCCCGACGUUAGCGUCUACCGGAUUCCUCCCCGGGCCUCCAACCGCGGUUACAGGGCAUCUGACUGGAAAUUAGACCAGCCUGAUUGGACUGGUCGCCUCCGAAUCACUUCAAAAGGAAAGAUCGCUUACAUCAAACUUGAGGAUAAAGUUUCAGGGGAGCUCUUUGCUCAGGCACCAGUAGAACAAUAUCCUGGUAUUGCUGUGGAGACAGUGACAGAUUCCAGCCGCUACUUUGUAAUCCGGAUCCAGGAUGGUACUGGGCGUAGUGCUUUCAUUGGCAUUGGGUUCACAGAUCGGGGUGAUGCCUUUGACUUUAAUGUCUCCUUGCAAGAUCACUUCAAGUGGGUAAAGCAGGAAUCUGAGAUAUCCAAAGAAUCUCAGGACAUGGAUAAUCGUCCCAAGUUGGAUCUGGGCUUCAAGGAAGGACAGACCAUCAAAUUGAGUAUUGGGAACAUUACAACUAAGAAAGGAGGUGCUUCUAAGCCCAAGACUACAGGGGCUGGGGGCCUAAGCUUGCUCCCACCCCCACCUGGAGGCAAAGUCACUAUUCCCCCACCGUCCUCCGUUGCCAUCAGCAAUCAUGUCACUCCACCACCCAUUCCAAAAUCUAACCAUGGAGGUAGUGAUGCAGAUAUCCUUUUAGAUUUGGAUUCUCCUGCUCCUGUCACGACACCAGCAUCAGCUCCAGUUUCUGCAAACAAUGACCUGUGGGGAGACUUUAGCACUGCAUCCAGUUGGAGAAAAUCUCAUUUAUGUGCUCCAGAGUCCGCCAGUAUUAGGAAUCGGAAAACAGUGAUGAAGAAAAAUUUUACUUUGGUACUUUGCCUAUGACCUGAGAGAAGAAAAACAAUACUGUAAAGCACAGCUGUGGAGAGAGACAGUGAGAGAGGAAACAUAAGCAGGAGGAGUGGGAGAGGGAGAAGCAUGCUUCCCACAGAGUGGGGAAGCCCCACAUGGGGCUCAAUUCUUGAACCCUAGGAUCAUGACCUGAGCUGAAGACCGACACUUAAUGACUGAGCCACCCAGGUACCCCAUUGACUUUUUUUUUUUAGUCUAAAAAUUUCAGCUCUCACUUUUAAUGAUCUUUUAUAUUUUUGGUCAUGGAGCCCAAUGUGGGGCUCAAACUCAUGAACCUGAGAUCAAGACUUGAGCUGAGAUCAAGUUUCAGAUUUAACCAACUGAGUCCCCCAAGGUGCCCCUGCUCAGUCUUUAUUUCAUAUAUUUGUCUGGUCUUUGUUAAUUCCUUUCUGCUAAUUGGGCUUGAUUUGUUCUUUUACUAGUUCCAUGAGGUGUAAAUUGAGGUCUUCAAGCUACUUUUUGUUUCUUGAGGUAGUCAGGAAUCAUUAUAAACUUCAUUCCUAGAACUGCCUUUAGGGGCACCUGGACGGUGGUGUCUACUUUUGGCUCAGGUCAUGAUCCCUAGAUCCAGGGAUUGAGCCCCUCUUUGGGUUCCCUGCUCAGUGGGGAUUCUGCUUCUCCUUCUGCUGCUCCCCCUGCUGUGCUCUCUUUCUCUUACUCUCUCUCAAAUAAAUAAAUAAAAUAUUUUAAAAAACUGCCUUUGCAGUCUCCCAUAAGUUUUGAAAUGUUGUGCUUUCAUUUUCAUUUGUUUGAAUUAGAUUUUUUCAUUUUUUUUUCUUUUCUUUUUUUAGAGAGAGAGCGAGAAAGCACAUGCACACAUGUGUGCAUGCAACUUGUUGGGUAGGUGGGCAGAGGGAGAGGAAGAGAAAGAAUCUUAAGAAGGUUCCACUCCCAGCUUGGACCUGACACCAGGCUUGAUCUCACAAGCUUGAGAUCAUGACUAAGCUGAAAUCAAGAGUCAAACACAUUACCAGCUGAACCAGAUAGGCACCCCUGUCUUUUUAUCGUCUUAACUACACCUUAGACACAUCUUUUCAUUUGGCUCAGUAAACUUUCUAGAGCAGAGUUUCUCUCAUGUAUUUGAAAUCACGUUUGUUUUCCAGGAACACAGAAUAUGCCAGGUGUAGUUUAUUUUUUCCUGUUCUAGGUGGGAUUUAUAUAUCCUCUAAGAUUCCUAAAUCCUUUUAAUAAAGAAUACAUAGUACUUUAGAAAAGAUGUAGUUUCUAGAGUCACUUUGAGAGUUUGUGGGUAAGUAAUAUUGUUGCUAUGGAAAUACUUUGUUUGUGACAGUGUUGAAAAAUAUAUGUGUUGUCAAAUCUAUAAUUUUACUUCCUUCCACUUCCAACUUAACAUAGUAGUAUUUCAUUCAAGAUCACCAGAUAUAUAUGUGUGUGUACAUAUGUGUGAGUGUAUAUAUACUUAAAAUAAUAUUGUAGCUUAAGGAAGAAGGCAGGUGAAGGGCCAUAUUUUGGAAGCUAGAAUUUAAGAAGGAUCUCUAAGCUACUGGAUACUUGUUUUUGUGAUCUCAGGCUGCUGUAGCAAAAUACCAUAGAUUAGUGGCUUAAACAACAGGAAUUUUUAUCUCACAGUUCUAGAGGCUGGGACGUUUGAGAUUACAAUGCCAGCAUGGCUGUAGGACACAACAUUCAGUCCAUGAUGGCACUGUAAAAGAGGACAGGGAACCUGAUGAUGUCUUUACCACAGAAUGUUACAUUUCCUUUUCCAUUGCCUUAUAAGCUUAUUUUCUCUCAUCUAGGAAGAUUUGGGGGUUUAAUCAACAGCUCCACCAUCCCUUUCUUAACCCCAAAACAAAAAUUUGUGAUAAACAAAUUUUGAUUUGUUUACCUGUCUUUACAUACAGUAUACAUACAUUGUGUACAUUAAAAGCUUUAGUUCAGGGGCGCCUGGCUCAGUCGUCUGCCUUUGGCUGAGAUCAUGAUCCCAGGGUCCUGGGAUUGAGCCUCACCUUGGGCUCUGUGCUCAGAAGGGAGCCACCUUCUCUCUUUCACUCUCCCUCUGUGCUCCUUCAAAUAAAUUAAUAAAAUCUUUUUUUAAAAAAAAGCUUUAGCUCAUUGCUCGCAUUAUCUUUUGUCAUCUUGCAUACAACUUACUCAGUUCAGAGACAUUUUUAAGGCAUAAUUUACCUCAAGGAUGUAACAUGUAAUUUGAAAUAUAACACCUCUCCCUAAAAAAAAAAGAAGAAAGAAAGAAAGAUGGAGUGUGUAUUAAAUUUUUAUUAAGCAUAGUGAUUAUUCUUUUAGGGCAUUGCUAAACUUUUUGUUUGAAUGAAUAAAAACAAAUUGAGAAAUUUCACAUGACACACUAAUCUAGUGAUUUCAACAUACUUCAUGGAAAUUUCUACUGGCUGUUUUUGGGUGUUGCUUUCCCGAUUUCCUUUCGUCUUUGCUCUGUUUCUCAGAGUGAAUCAAAGGAAACUUGUCUUUGAAAAGACUUCUUCUUUUGACUCAUCUUUUAUGUAGAGAACUUUCUGCUCUUACCAGAAUAAGUAAGAUUAAUGUUCAAUCUCAAGUAUUUCUGAGGGUAUACUCCUUACCCACAGAAAUAUACACUUGGGGCAAAAUCAGAAGAGGCUUCUCAUUCUCCCAACCACUGGACAGGAAGAGAAUUAACCCACAAUGGGUCAAGAAGAACCUCAAAAUAAACUAACUCAUCACACCAUUCUACGCUGCAGGAGAGAAGCAAGAGUGUUCAAGUUACCAGAGUACUACAAGAAGCUGACAUGCACCAGAGAGAAAUCAAAAUUGAAAGUGUUCCAAGAGUCAUUGUUUAUGCACCACACCCAGUGCCCCAUGCAAUAUGGGCCCUCCUUAAUACCCACAAACAGGCUCACCUAACCCCCCACCCCCUUCCCCUCUAAAACCCUCAGUUUGUUUCUCAGAGUCCACAGUUUCUCAUGGUUCAUCUCCCCCUCUGAUUUUCCCCAAUUCACUUAUCCUUUCCUUCUCCUAAUCUCCAUGUUAUUCCUUAUGCUCCACAAGUAAAUAAAACCAUAUGAUAAUUGA